Molecule: unclassified non-coding RNA, 294 nt
Filed under: Hevea brasiliensis (rubber tree)
Lineage: Eukaryota; Viridiplantae; Streptophyta; Magnoliopsida; Malpighiales; Euphorbiaceae
Source: RNAcentral
UGCUGCUGCUGCAGAUCUUGAGAGGAGGGCCAGUUCUCGAUCUGUUUGGGCUUUUCAGAUUAGGGUUUUUACUGGUUUUUCUUUCCAAAUGUCGACUCCCUAUCCCAUUCCUGUCACUGCUGCUCAGGUUGGGACGUACUUUGUGGGGCAGUACUAUCAGUUACUACAGCAACAGCCGGAAUUCGUUUACCAGUUUUACAGUGAUGCCAGUACUAUGCUUCGUAUAGAUGGCACUAUUAGAGAAAACGCCACUUCAAUGCUUCAAAUCCAUGCGCUUAUUAUGACACUCAAUUA